UGACAUAGUUAAUUCACCAACGGAAUUUGUUGCCAUAGCUCCAGCGAGGGAAGGGGUAGAUUAAACAAUAGCCUUUUUCACGGCUGCAGCUUUCGCCACAACCUGCCUGUUGCCGCAAAACAGGCCAUCAUAGCGCUAGUUCAGAGCACAGCAAUUGUCAAUGAACCACAGCCCAGAGGGGACAAGAGGAGGCUUGUGGUAAAUAAAGCAAGCGUGCCCAGCAACUCAGAUCUCUCCUUAUUCAAUAACUGGGACAUUCCGAGCUCCUCUGAGCUUAUCUUUAAGUGCUGGGCACAGAGAGCCUGCUUGACCUUUUUGGUCAAGUGAGGAACAAAAAUUUCAUCCUGUGACUCAAAAGAACUCAAAAGGGAGGAGGCCUCUGGAGAAAAGAUCAGGAGCAGGCAUGGUAGGCCAUCAGGAGUGCACCAUGGAAGAAGACUCCAGGGACAAUCGCGCUCUGCAACUGUGGCGCAAGUUUCAUGUCUGGACUCAAACCCCAUAAAGAAGGGACCAAAAUCUACACGGCACUCUUGAGUAUGAUGGCGGCUGUAUUUGGAGUUUUGAUUAAACUGCGCUACAUGUGUGAUUAUUACUUGUAAACAGAUGAUUAGAUAUUAAUUAGACAAUAAGUGAUUGUAAAGCACUUAGAAAAUAAAAGUGUUUAUAAAUACCA
This is a non-coding RNA of Callithrix jacchus (white-tufted-ear marmoset), 673 nucleotides long. NCBI's taxonomy places the organism in Eukaryota, Metazoa, Chordata, Mammalia, Primates, Cebidae. The record is from RefSeq and is a predicted model, not a curated record.